CAGUGGUCAUAACAGUGUGAGGAAUAACCAAUUGGGUAAUAUUUUGAUAAUGCAAACAGAGCAUUUUAAUGAAUUGUAAAGUCACAUGAUAUGUAAUGUGGUUAGGUGUUAAAAAACUAGUCACGUGAUAUGUAAACUGUAAUAGAUAUAUUUUAUGCAGAUGAGAAAUUACUACAAACAUGAACUUUUUUCAGAAAACUAUAUGACGGAAAAAUGGUUAGAGCAAGCGAAAUGGUUACAUCAGAUUGUUGUUGAUGAAAACACAUCAAAAGGACAAGAAUAAAUCAAUUUCCAAUAAACAACAACAUGACAUUAGAGGCUAGAUCCAACUUCAAAGUACACACAAUUUCAUCUAUAAUUUCACUUUGUUUUUAAAACACACUAACAUGCCCAUCAAUUUCAAAAACCAACAGAACCCUAAAAUUAUUAACAAAAGUUUGAAAACCAUACCCUACAAGCAAUCACUGUUUUCUGCUUCUUCCCGAACAACAUCAAGAACAAAAUCAAUAGAAUAGUGCCUCGAAUCUCCUGUUAGUAGAAGUAGACAUAUCUACCACCUACAAAAACCAACAACCACAAAAAAAAAAUUCCAAAGUAUUCAACUUGCAUGCACAUAAGGUAAAAUCAUAUUUUACACUCAAUAACAACAUAAAGUUCCAAAUUUUGAAUCAAAACUAGAAAUAAUACCAAAUCAGCUAAUCAAUCUAAGGGGGGAAAGAAAGGCAUUGUUGGAUUAAAAAAAAUCCCCAAAUCUAUUAUCAAAGUACACCAUUUUCAUCUUAUUUCCAUGUAAAUUACUUUGUUUUUCGUGUUAAAAUAUGAACAUAGAAGAAACAGAGGGGAUGGUUGCUUUGUAAAGGGGGGAAGAACUUGGUUGAAAGGAGAGAUAGAGAAAUGGAAAGUGAUGAAAGGAGAAGAAAAUGAAUGAGAAAGAGGAGACUAGAAAAGAGAGAGAAAGUGAGGGAAAAAAGAGAUUUUUUUUUAAAAAGGAAAAAAAGAAAUGGGGUGAAAAGAGGGGGAAAAUUGAUAUAAGGGGCAUAAUAAAAAUUUGGACCAAUUGAAAAGUGUCAUGUGGGUGAAUGAAUUGUUCUCAGCAACUCUACGAUUGGGUAAUAUGUAUUUUACAAUUAU
This 1131-nucleotide long non-coding RNA is filed under the name Lathyrus oleraceus (garden pea). RNAcentral's name for it is "Pisum sativum (pea) long non-coding RNA (PSAT_LNC003901)". Lineage: Eukaryota; Viridiplantae; Streptophyta; Magnoliopsida; Fabales; Fabaceae. The record is from RNAcentral.